GCGGUUUACUAACUUGCCCAGAGUUCCACAGCGAGGAGGUAGCAGAACCUGAGCUGGACUCCAGCACUGGCUCAGCUCACACCUGGACUCUGAUGAGAAGACCAAGACUUUAUGCUUUAAAAUAGGGGAUAAACUCCAGGAGCGCAUGAUUUUUGUCUGUUCUGUGCUCUGCUAUAUCCUCAAUGCCUGUAGAAGCUCUGUCCAAUGGAAAUAGAGUGCGAUCCAUGAACGCAACUACUGUGUAAAUCAAGGGAAGACCAAGUUUUGCUUUGCUCAAGAGCUUUAGCAAGGACUUAUCACCAUUUUGGAAAAUCACACCUGUAAUGGCAACAUGACUCAUGAUAGAGAAAGAAGAAAUUCACCCAGAUACCUGCUGGCAAAUCUAAUUGUUUGAGGAUUUUGCUUGACCAUGGGAUGAGUCCCCAUACGACACACCUGGAUCCGUCUGCAUGUGUUGAUGUCGCGGUCGCCGUGUUUCAUGGUAUACAAAAGUCUACUUUUUUUUUUUUUUUUUUUUGCGGUACGCGGGCCUCUCACUGCUGUGGCCUCUCCCGUUGCGGAGCACAGGCUCUGGACGCGCAGGCUCA
Aethalodelphis obliquidens (Pacific white-sided dolphin) is the source of this 587-nucleotide long non-coding RNA. RefSeq lists it as uncharacterized. NCBI's taxonomy places the organism in Eukaryota, Metazoa, Chordata, Mammalia, Artiodactyla, Delphinidae. The transcript has 3 exons. The record is from RefSeq and is a predicted model, not a curated record.